Molecule: long non-coding RNA, 1470 nt
Organism: Bombina bombina (fire-bellied toad)
Lineage: Eukaryota; Metazoa; Chordata; Amphibia; Anura; Bombinatoridae
Exons: 2
Source: RefSeq, a predicted model, not a curated record
AGUUGCUAUCUCUAUAAGAUGCUCAUAUGGCCUUGCUUUGGGCCUAGAUGCAUUUGUUAUUAUGGCUAUAGAAAUAUUGCUUCUCAAAACUGUCUUUUACCUAAUUAUAAUAAUGAGCUUGUAUUUUUCCUGACAAACACUGUGUAAAAUGAUGCGGUCAUAACGUGUUAUCUUGUUAACCCUAUAUGCUGUAACUGUCGUCUAUAAGACAUGCCUUUCAUCUUUCAAUAAACAGAAUGUUUUUUUAGACUCAUUGCUGCGUGGUCUGAAGUCUGUUCUCGUGGAUAUCCUGAUCAAAUAAUAUAUUAAUUUCCAGCUGGUACGGCGUGCCUAAGGCCCAGUCAUGACUGACACUCCCCCUCUGAAAACAACAUCUAACAAUUCUGGUGUCAGCUCGUGGGAUUUGCACUGGACUCCUUCUGACUCGAGUGUCUGCUUGCUAUGGGGAUCCACUAGCUUUCCUUGUCUACCACAUGAACAAACCAUCGGACUUCCAGCAUCUACCUGCAGAAGAACACUGGAUAAGCACCCCUAUUGCAAAUGGACUAUGGUAUUGAAGCAGAGUGUCUGAGGAAGGUGGGGCGCUCUAAGAGGACAAAGACUGUUCUUAAAGUGAUCAGAGGCCAUCUAGAGACAUUUGUGCUGUUCCCAUGUCAUGCUUCACUGUGGAGAAUGUACAGAGCAAGAACCUGAUGGAAAUAUUGGGGGGUGCUAGCAAUGCAAGUGGAGAACAUAAAGAUGCAGCAUUGUUUGGGGGAAGAUAGGGGGCUGGUUGGGUCUUUGUGCAGAUAGACCAGUAGUUUGAGGAUGCUGGGAGGUAGAUGGAGAGUAUUGGAGAGGCCACACCUAUGUGCAGUGACAAAUUGUGCCCUAUUGGCCAAUAAAAUUAUACCACUACAUGUGAAUAUCUUUCUCUAUAGUAUUCUCACAUAGAUUUAUGUUAUACCAAAGUAUCAGGCUUAUAUUGUUGUUAAAGGAUUUACUGAUUUUCUGUGCUUUUCAAUUUUUAUGUUAUUCUGUUAGAAUAAAAGAGUGGUAUGUUAGGAAUUGUGAGCAUGACCAGCGCCAUCUUUUCUUAGCUGCCAUUUUGUCUUUGGCAUCCAUCUUGUCUGAGUAACAUUCAUUAUAGCAGCUAUUCUGUAGUGGGAAAGACAUAUUUGUUAUUAGUUUCUUAGAGCUAGUUUGGCCUUGCAGAUGUUCUGGGCAAGGUGCCUGGAAGUUGCUAUCUCUAUAAGAUGUCCAUAUGGCCUCGCUUUGGGCCUAGAUGCAUUUGUUAUUAUGGCUUUAGAAAUAUUGCUUCUCAAAACUGUCUUUUACCUAAUUAUAAUAAUGAGCUUGUAUUUUUCCUGACAUACACUGUGUAAAAUGAUGCGGUCAUAACGUGUCAUCUUGUUAACCCUAUAUGCUGUAACUGUCGUCUAUAAGACAUGCCUUUCAUCUCUCAAUAAACAGAAUGUUUUUUUAAACUCA